Molecule: long non-coding RNA, 4501 nt
Filed under: Equus asinus (donkey)
Lineage: Eukaryota; Metazoa; Chordata; Mammalia; Perissodactyla; Equidae
Description: lncRNA (ENSEASG00005024794.1)
Source: RNAcentral
GUUGAUUUUAUUUUACAUUUAGAUUUUGACUUGGGAUUUACGUUUGUGUGAGGGAUGCAUUAAAAGCUGACUUCCCCCGUGCAGGUGGAAAACCAACCAUCCAGGCACCGACCACUGAGCAGUUCCGGCUUUCCCAGCUGCCGAACUGGCUCCUUUCCCACCGGCUGAAAACCUACAGCCACAGAUACCUCUCGAGCACCCUGGAGCGAGCAGAGUAAGCUUUCCAACCUGGGCUCCCUGUCCACAAGGGACAGCUACUGGCAGAGCCUUCUCCUGAUGUGGCAGGGGGCAUGCUGCACACACAAGUGCUCAGGGGCCAUCCGCUGUGGAGCAGGACACCCCUCGCCCCCGGAUGAUGAGCAGGCAGUGGGGGAGCCUGAGGGCCCAGUACUGACCUCAGCUGGGGGACAGCAGCCUGCUCAAGAAGGGGAAGCCCACUCUCCUCAGCUCGUCCAGCUUCUGCAGCAUGUGCACUUGGCUGUCAGGGCACCGCCCCUCUGCCACAUGGUAGAACAGCUCGCCGUUCUUCUUCUCCACCUGCUCCCGCAGGCAGCACCCCCGCUUUUGUUCUGCCAGGAGAAGCAGCAGGUCGAGGAGACCUCAGGCCCCCGACGCUGACAGGAUGACCCCGUUGAGGGACAUGGGGCUGGUGCUCACUCUGCACAGCUUCCACAGCUGGCUUUGGGGUGACAACUGUUGGAGGGGCAGAGAAGCUCUGGGAGGGCUUCUGAGGCACUGCUGUGAAUGAGAACUUGGGGGCUCUGGGCCAAGCCCUUGUCAGGCCCCAGACGGGUGGGCUCCAUGUCUCUCUACAGCCUCCUUCGCUCGACAAGCGCUGUGGGGACAGAUGGCCUCUCUCGAGUGUGCUUGGAGAAGAACCUGUAAGAAAGAAGUGAGCCGAUAAAUCUGCACGCCCCAAUCCUGGGGGCUAAAGUCCCCCACAGAAAUGCCACUCUUACCUAGCAAGCCCCCGGUGGGGGAAGUGAAGUCUCACCACCAGCAUCUACAGCAGACGUGUUUAUUUCUGCCUGGCUACCUGACAUUGUGGCGGCCACACUGUCUCCUAGAGUUCCUUCCAGACAUUGCUGCACCCACUCCUGACCGGCGGCUUCCUGGGAGGCCCUGGGUGCAGUCUCACCCUGCAGAGCGGCUCCCUUCAACCUGCGGGACUCUGGCUUGGCCCUCAGGUUUUCACUCAAGGACGGCAAUGAACUGGCAGCGACUUUCCCGUCUGCUUCACUCCCAUGGUCUCUCAGGGCCCCCAUGGGGAAAUGUUCACUACAGAGGAAAGAAUACUUAGUGGGGGUCCAGUUAUCCCUGUGAACAGCUUUUAACCACCGGAUCAGGUGUUUUCAGUCCUUUACGGGGAGCCUGCAGGAUAAAUGACAAAGUAGUUAGAACAAAAGAAUUAAAGGAUCAACUAUAAAAGCAAAACAAGUGUUUUUGCGAACACCUACACCUGUAGCAACUUUCUCCAUUUAAAUAUUUAGUACAGAUUUAAGGAACACCUUAACUUGCAAGUUAUUACUGGAACAGAAAGAUGAAAGACCCCCUGUCUACCUCAAGGAGCUUACAGUCUGUAGCGCAGAGGAAGGAAGGAAGGUGGGGAACUCCUCCCAGGCUGUGGUAAACGCCCUGAGGGGUACAGAUGCUCAGGCACAUAGCACAGGAUGGCAUCAAGACAACAGGAAAGGUUCCAGGAAGCCGCAGGAAUAGUUCCUAGAAGCUCACGGCUGACCAAUCCUCCUGCUGUGCCUGGGAUGCAGGGCAGGACUUUGGGUGCUAAAAUGGGGAGGGUUGGGCCCCUACUGCGAAGCCAGGCCAGAUGUCAGCCAGCAGAGCAUCCCAGACAGUCAGCAGGGUGCUGGCCCCAGCUGUGGCUCACACAGCUGAGGAUGCAAGACCACCUCCAAGACGAAGUGAGACUCAGAAGCUGUUCUGUGUUUCUGCACUACCAGGAGGAAAGCUGCUCGCUUUAAAAAAAGCAACUGGCCCGGAGAAGAUACUGACCAAGAUACUUAAUGAUCCCUUCUUCUCAUUAAGGUAAAAUCUCUACAUACACCCAACUGUGCUCGCGGGGAGGGUGCGGCGGACUCCCCGAGGGCUUUCUGCUCCACCGGAGGGCACCUAGCACCUUGAGGCUGCUGUGGACCAGGCCCAGGGUGGAUCCUACCUCUUCAGGAAGUUCUAAGCAAUGUGAUUUCCAAACUCAAAAUGCUGUGAACACGUUACCCAAAGAGCCAAGCCCACUAACACACACAGCGCGUUGGCCAUGAUGCAUACCAAGAGCAGCUUUCUUGGCAGCGCUGUACCUCAUUCUCAAAAGCAGUAACAAAACUUUGGGGACACAGGCUCUGAAGGGAACUGUCAAGAAAGCUCGGUGGCUGACGCCUGGAAUAAGCUCAUAUUACUAGCUCCUCGAGAGCUUAAGCAACUUAAGACUUAGAACAAAUCCCUGUAAACUUCCCAUAAGAGUACGGGUAACAAGCGCCAUUCAGGACUUUCACUGCGAUCACAGCCUGCAGCACGAAGGAGAAGGACCUGCCAGCAGUCUCUUCCGUUCACCGUUCUGGGGCGUCCAGGAGGCGGGCAAGGCCGCCGAGAAGGACUCGCUCAAACAGCUCAAUUCCAGGAGCCCUCACGAAGGGAGCCAGGCCGCGGGGAAGACACAGCCCUCAUGCGGGGCGGGAGCCCCCCGAAGAAGCGGCCAGGGAGCCCCGUCCCGCAGCCCGCGGGGGCGGCCCCGGGAGGAGGGCGCCCGCUCCCCCCGGGACCUCUCACACGCGGCACCGGGACUCACCUGCGGGCGCAGAGCCGCCUUUUCCCGGACUGCCGGGACCCCUCUACAAAGAGCGCCUGUGGGGCGAGGCCAUCCAGGAGGAAGAAGCUGCAUUCGCUCAGCCUCACCGCUGAUGCCAGAGCUCGAGGCAGGCUCCCCGCCAUCAAAAGAACCAAAACGUCACAGCAAGUGAAACGCAAGAGGCCAACUGAGGCAGGGAAGAGCGUCCCCAGAAUGACCUGUUCCUGGACGUCGUCGGCCCCAACCCGACCCAACGCAGAGCUGGGGCCGCGGGUCGGGGGUGAGAAGGCGGGGCGGGUCGUAAGCCGGGGCCGGCGGCCGGGCGUUGCCGCGGUGGCCCGAGGCGCCCGCCCCAGAGCCGGCGGCGCGGGACCCUGCCCCUCCCGCCGGGCGCCGGCUGUGCCGCUGGAGCGGCCGCGAGGCCCCAAGCGGGGGCUGACCGGGCGGCGGUUACCCGUGGCAGAACACGGCGGCUCCUCCGCGCGGCCCGGCCGUUGGGAGCGGUUCGCGGCCGCCCUAGAGUAGGGCUCGCGGCGACACGGCUACAGGACGCGGGAGCCGAUCCCUCUGUCCUCAGCGCGCCCGGCGUCGCGCAGCAAGGAGCGCCGAGCCCGGCCGCACGGCAAGAUGGCCGCGCCCGCGGGCCGGGCACAAGGCGGGCUGACGCGCCCUGUCCCGAGUCCGGGCGCCCAACCGCGUCUGCUUCCGCUGCCCAGACAGGUCGCUGCCGCCGUCCUCGGAGGGAACGACGCAGGACGGGUAGCCGACACCAGUCCCGGCCCUCCGCGCUGGGCCCCACCGUGCGCCAAGAGGGCGGCCGACGCACUUCUGCUCGCACUUCCGGCCCCGCCCAGCGUUUGCUCGUUGCUAUGCAAACCAGAGAAGCAGCUCAGACAGCACCAGGGAGCACCCUGUGUAUUUGGGCGUUUGGAAACAUGACCUGAAGUUCCUCACCGACGCCUGCCACACGGUGUGCCACGCGGUGCCACGUCCGCACCCGGAUCCGAAUCAGCGAACCACCGGCUGCGGAAGCAGAACGUGCGCACUUACCACUGCGCCCCUGGCCGGCCCCCAGGUUCUCUACAUCCGCACAUUCUGAGCACCAGCCCCUCUCCUUCUCCCGGAAUCUGAAUUCUUUCAAAAUCCACGAGCACCCUCCUUUCUGCCAAGAGCCACCCACCAGUCAGCUAAGCCUCUACCCAAGGGCAACGGUCUGGGAGAGAGAUGAGGGAACGCACGGCGGACCCUCAGAAGAUGGCGGUCGGCCGCUCCUGAUCCUACUCAUGCUACUAAUCUUAGCAAUAUUGCUCUUGCUGUUCUUUUCCUGUACAUGGGGAUAUCUUGGGGAAAAUCUCUCCAAGCAGGGGAAAGAAGCUGGUGUAACCUGGCCUUCUAGGGAAGGUUCAGGGGAGCAACAGCCUGAAGGGAAAAAACGUUCUGACCCCCUCCUGGAAAGGCGGUAAGGGAAUUUGGACAGCCCUCAAGGAGGAAGCCUUCUAAUAAUCAGCCUCUAAGGAGAACAUUCCCUCCUCAGGGCCUUCUAGGAGGUAGAUAUUAUCCUAGGCCUGUUAGGACAGGAGAUAAAUGAUGGCACCCACCCAGGAACAGAGGCAUGCAAAAACUACCCCUUCCUAAGGCAACUCACAAUCCUGAUAAAGUUGCAAAGAAAUAUCAUAAUAUAUUGACACAGGGGAACUGGGA